AAUGGCCUAAAGGCUGAACCAGUAACUUGGAAGAAUGUAAAUGUAUUAAUAAUUAAUACAAUAACGAUUAAUUCGUAUAAAAUUCUAAAUAGAAUAAUGAUAAUGACAAUUUUCUAUUUAUAAGUCUUGACCAAAUUACGUGCCAGCAGUCGCGGUAAUACGUAAAAGACUAGUGUUAGUCAUCUUUAUUAGGUUUAAAGGGUACCUAGACGGUAAAUUAAACUCUUAUUGAGUAUCUUUUUACUAGAGUUUUAUAAGAGAAGGAAGAAUUUUUGGAGUAGUGAUAAAAUACUUUUAUACCAAAAAGACUGAUAACGGCGAAGGCAUCCUUCUAUGUAAAAACUGACGUUGAGGGACGAAGGCUUGGGUAGCAAUAAGGAUUAGAUACCCUAGUAGUCCAAGCAGAAAAUGAUGAAUGUCAUAAACUAGAUAAUUAAUUUAGUAUAUAAAUGAAAGUGUAAGCAUUCCACCUCAAGAGUAAUAUGGCAACAUAUAAACUGAAAUCAUUAGACCGUUUCUGAAACCAGUAGUGAAGUAUGUUAUUUAAUUCGAUAAUCCGCGAAAAACCUUACCACAAUUUGAAUAAUAAAUUAUUAUUUAUUACAAGCGCUGCACGGCUGUCUUUAGUUAAUGUCGUGAGAUCUGGUUAAUUCCUUUAAUUAACGAAAACCCUCAUUUUAUUUAUAUAUAUAAAAUGGUUCACCGUUAUAUUGGUUUGAUAAAAGGGAUUAAGACAAGUCAUCAUGGCCUAAAUGUUGUCUAAAUGUUGU
This 770-nucleotide ribosomal RNA is filed under the name Elaphomyces granulatus. RNAcentral describes it as "mitochondrial SSU rRNA". It matches the Rfam family "Bacterial small subunit ribosomal RNA", at positions 370 to 1226 of the family's 1533-position model. The record is from RNAcentral. Lineage: Eukaryota; Fungi; Ascomycota; Eurotiomycetes; Eurotiales; Elaphomycetaceae.